GCCUAUCACCAGACCACCCUGAACACACCUGUUCUGGUCUGAUCUUGGAAGCUAAGUAGGGUCGGGCCUGGUUGGUACUUGGAUGGGAGAAUUACAUCUUCAAAGACAAGGCUCUGUUAAAGGGG
RNAcentral lists this ribosomal RNA (125 nucleotides) under Cebus imitator (Panamanian white-faced capuchin). The record is from RNAcentral. Lineage: Eukaryota; Metazoa; Chordata; Mammalia; Primates; Cebidae.